CGUUGACGAUGGUGCGGGCUUCGAGCGAGCACACUGUCCAGGUGGCCGAGUGGUGCUGUUCGGCGAAGUUGGUGGUGCGGAUCCGCUCGCUGAUGG
Molecule: transfer RNA, 96 nt
Filed under: Streptomyces malachitofuscus
Lineage: Bacteria; Bacillati; Actinomycetota; Actinomycetes; Kitasatosporales; Streptomycetaceae
Description: tRNA-Asp
Source: RNAcentral